This is a long non-coding RNA of Dermochelys coriacea (leatherback sea turtle), 342 nucleotides long. RefSeq lists it as uncharacterized. The transcript has 3 exons. Lineage: Eukaryota; Metazoa; Chordata; Testudines; Dermochelyidae. The record is from RefSeq and is a predicted model, not a curated record.
UUCAGUUAAAUGGAUGAUGAGUAAUAGUCUUCUCUUACCUGAACAGCAUAUUUUGGAUACUGACAAAUUACAGUGCUCCUGGAAAUGGGUGCAAAGAUGGGCCUGGAGAUGGAAAUCUUCAUUUCUCCACAGACAAGAUAUAGCAUAGCAGCAAUAGUGCUUUCAAGAAGGACUUUACAGAUGUUGUGAAGAAGAAAGCCUAGAGCUGUUUAAAAGACAUGACAAACUGCUAAAAAGCAGAUGCAGCUUUUGUUUAUAAAUCUUCUAGUCUUUUCCUGUAAUUAAGACUAGAGUGGGUUUAGUGUGAAAAUUAAAAUCAUUCCAACUACAGUAUAUAAAAAA